GUAUUUCAAGCAGGGAAAACGGAAGAGGGCUGACUGGUUUACUCUGGAGAUUUUCCUUAGUCUGGACCAAACCUUCCCAUUAUUGGACACAGAUGGUCAGCUAGUAAUCAAUCAUCUAUAAUUAUGCUUUGGAAAAACCUCAUGAGCAAAGACCCUCGACUUGUAGUCAAAGCUACAAUUUAUGUCAAGCAGCUCCAUUAGAUGUCUCAUUUCCCAGCCAUCAGGAGGAGGAAAGAGGGAAUGAAGAACAAGCUUCUUCCUGUGGGUGUGACCCAGAGGUUGUUCGUGUCACUUCUAUUCACAUUUGCUUGUGUAGAACUUACACAAUCAUACUUAACUUCAAGAAAGAUUGGGCAACAUAGUUUAUAGCGGGGAGGAUUUAUGCCCUGAAAUUGAUGGUGUCAUCUUUUCAUCUUCCCUCUCUCACCAUUAGCAUGUAAUCUGUAACUGAAUUUGAACAAUCCAACUUCCAAAUGAUUUCCAUUUUUCUCCAUAUUCCUAACAACACUUUAGUCUAAAGCGUCCUCAUCCUUGCCUAGUUUACUACAAUAACCUAAUUGGUCAGCGUGCUUCCAUUCUUGCCCCACCAAGUCAUUUCUGACACCGUGGCCGCUAAUUCUUAAGAAUAGAAACCAAAUCAUCACUCUUCUUUAAGGCCUUUAGUGUCUAUUUCCAUAGAAUAAAAUCCAUACCCUGCACCAUGAGCCGUAAGACCUGGCAAUGACCUGGCUCUAGUGUACCCAGUGCUAUCCUUGCACCAUGCUUUCCACCAGUCACUAUGUUCUGGCUUCUCUGGCCUCCACCUUUUUCUAGAACACAUUGAUCCUUUCCCCACCUCAGGCCCUUAUCCCUGCUAUUCUUCAUCCUGUAAAACUUUUGCUGGGAUCUCCGCGUGGCUGGCUCGCCCUCAUCUCUUGGCACUCAGCACAAAUGUCAUCUAUUUUGAGAAUCUUUCCUGACUGCCCUUUGUAAAGCAGCAUGUCUUGUUCCCAGUGACUCUUUAUUGCAUUACUUUAUUUAUUUUCUUCAUAGCAUUUAUUAAAUUAUAUAAUAAUCC
This 1057-nucleotide long non-coding RNA is filed under the name Homo sapiens (human). RNAcentral's name for it is "long intergenic non-protein coding RNA 1031". Lineage: Eukaryota; Metazoa; Chordata; Mammalia; Primates; Hominidae. The record is from RNAcentral.